AUGUCCAAUCCUUAAUGAUCGAAUGAAUAAAAAAAAAACUAAAACAAGGCUUUAAAUAGUUAACCCUAAAUAAGGAAAUAAAAUUAAAGUUCAGACUUUCUUCGAAAUAGAUAACGGCGCUCGUGACGGCCUAUCAGGAGUUUGACGGCCUAUCACGAACGUCGUCAGCUUCUCUGCAAGUUUAGCUUCUGCUGCCUAAGGUUGACGAUGACGUUACUCCUUAUCAUCAUCUUGACGACGUGUCAUGAAUGUCAUCACAAAACUUCCUACAACUUUCAUCUUCUGUUUAAGGUUGACGGCAUCCUUGACAGCCUAUCACCAGGCUGACGACGUGUUAUGGAUAUCGUCAGCCACAGUUUGUUCUUUAUUUGCUUCCGAUUUCAUGCUUUUUGCUUCCUUUAUUUGUGGUUCCCCUUCUUCUCUAUUUAUACUGGAAAAUCAAAGUAAACUAAUCAAAAACGACUAAAGUUGCUCAAGACUUUGCAAUUAUUUAGAGUUAAAAGUUGUAAAUGUAUUAGCAUGGGCUCACACAUCAACACCCUCAACUUAAACAAUUGGUUGUCCUCAAGCAACCAGAACAUAACCAAGAGUAUACAAAGUACAAGUUGGCAGCUAACUACUCAUAUCAGUUCAGAAUAUAUGCACCAUCUCCAAGGUCAGUCAAAUUAAGAGAAACUAUGUGUAUUAUUGAAAACACCCAUGCAACUCACGAGGAUCAAGAUAUGGCAAGAAUUUUAGCAAUAACAACCCAGCACAUACCCAAAUCACACUAUCCGAUUAAGGCAGUGAUUAGCAACAUACCUAGUGUGCCCUCACAACAAAGAAAUCCCUUUUUCACUCAUGUCAGAAUUUACAUACGUAAACACAGGGAUAAACACAAAACUCACUCUCAGAAAGAAGUUCCAACAUUUCGUACCAAAUGCCAUAGGCUUGCCCCUAUAAUCAGUACCCAAGUUAUCAGACAGGUCAGUUAGGAUCACUAUAGGGCUUUUCUAAAGCUUGUAACGUAGGUUAGGGGCUGGUAUGAUAUUCAUGGAUAUUUAAGAGUGACUAUGCCUCCUUGAAACUACACUAAACUCUUGGGGUUUCAACUCCCAACCUUCUUUUCUUCCUCUCUUUUAUUUAUCACACAUGCUCAAGAUGGAUGCGGUCUUUUCAAUUAUCACAUUAUCUUUUUAUCAUCUUUUACACUACUUUCUCAUUUCUUAUUCUUUUCUUUUAUUCUUCCUCUCUUCAUACUCAUUUUGUAUCACGCACCCCUAUAAUAGCCACCCUCAACUUAGGCGGUUUGCCUAAGUCAAGGUGCAUAGUGUCCAAGGAGGACCAGGGCCAAAACAGGUUCAUUAUGAUGUAAACGGGAAGGUGAGAGGUAUCGUAGAAAGAAAUAGGCUAAUUAGGCUCAAAACAGGAAUCAAGAGAUAUUAUGCACAUAGGGAAGAUCAUUUUGGCUAAAGUGGGAUAAAAUAAAAAAAAGGGCAUAUGAUCCUUUCCUAACUCCUAUCCUAUGACCAUGACAAGACUAACAGGGCAAGUUCUAGAUUCAACACACAACGGGAACUGAGUAAGACCUUACACACACAAGGCACUCAAGUAUCUCGCAUAUCACUACUUAUCCAGUUCAUGUACUUGUUUAACAAAGGUUAUUCAGUUGCCAGACUAAUGCCACAAAAAGAUACAUCGUGGUCACAAAUGGAUGCAAUUCACAUAGUAAUAUAUCAGACCAAUGGAGAGGUGCUCAAAAAUCACAAAAACGAGUUAACUGCCUUAGUUACUUAUAUUUCUCCUAGUUAACUACAACACAUCACAAAACAAGCGUAAUACGCCUAAACAUGCCGGAUCUAUUAGGAACAAUACUCUAGGGAAAAGAGGCACGGCAACAAAAACUCCAGGAGGACAUCAACACCUACAAGUAGCCCCAACACCCUCAACUUAAAACCAUGCAAUGUCCUCAAUGCGUCAAACUAAAACAAGAGAGUUAGAAACAUACCUGUGGAACCAUGGGUGCGAUGUCAAUCACAUAAUACGAAUACAAACAACAAAAUACCUUGGGUUGCCUCCCAAGAAGCGCCUAAUUUAGUGUCGCGGCAUGACAACAUCCAGUCAUCUUUUAUUCCUCUACUUUGAAGAUUUAAAUUGUCGGCCCAUCUUUUUAUCUUUACAUCUUUUAGGUCCAUUGGGCAAAUGUGAGGGCAUGAUAAGGAAUGUUCUAUCACGCCACUUCGAAGACUUGAACCGCUUGCUCAAUUUUGCAUCGAACUUUCGUGUGGGCUCAUUAGGCAACGAUAAGGAUCUUAAAAAGCUACUAAAUGGAUAUCGAUUUUUAAGCUUCUUGGCCUUCAAGACUGGGGUUGUAGUAUACCCUUUUAGAAAGAUAAACUCCAAAAUAUAAGAAUUUUCCUCCUCAUUUUCAAAAUUCAUCAUUUGCUCGGGUGGUUCGACUUUCAUCACAUCCACCAAGCAUAAUGUUGAAAAGUGGUUUGAAUGAGGACUGACUCUCAAUUCUGGAGUAGCGUCUCUAUUAGUAUCUUUACCCCAAAAUGGACUAGAGUCUUCACAAAGAUUGUUCUUGAUUUCUUCUUUUAAUUUUAGUACCAUUUCCUCAUCUUUGGCAUCUUCGUUCAUAAAUGGUUUGGUUGGUUGGGAAAUCUCCAAUGGAAGAUCAACAUCAAGCACAUCAUCAAUAUAGGAUUCUUGCUCCUCAUCUUCGCACUCUCUCAUUAUGUUAAAUGAUUCUACAGGCAAGAUAUCAUCUAAACAUAAUAUAAAAGAAUAUUUUGAAUAAUUGACCUCUAUAUCCAUCUCCUCAUGAAUAAUCGGCAUCAUGUCUUCACGCAUAUCACAUACGAUAUCAUAUGUUUCUUUCUGGAGAUCCAACAUUCGUUGAAACAUAGCUUCAAUGCCACUCUUACCGGUGCUUCGUUCUUUUUUUCUUGAUCAUAAGACCUAUUAAACUCAUAAGAAGAACUAGAAUUUGGGUUAGCGCAAUAGGGGGAGGGGGCAUUUGGGCAAUCACUCCAAUGUCCAUCUCGACCACCACAUAAAGAACAAUCAUACUCCUGGUAGGAUGGAGAUGGUACACACAUCUCUCCCUGGAGAGCAUAUCUACAAUCUUUCCAAAAGUGAGGUCCAUCACAAUAUGGACAUGGAUCAUCAAGAUAAGAUUUUCAACCACCAAGCUCAUGUUCAUUCCACGAUGUCAUAGUAAUAAGUAAACUAAAAUAAAAAUCUACCUAACACAAGAAAUAAAAGAAAACUAAAAAAAAAUAUUUACAAGUUUGAAUUCAAGCUAGUAGGCUAAAAUUCCAAACCAACUCAAUACGCCAAAUUGUUCCCCGGUAACGGCGCCAUUUUUGAUACGCUCAAAUUACACUCUUGAAUGGGUGUAAGCGAUCAUUGUCAAUAUAAAACUCAACUAGGUUAGGGUCGAAUCCCACAGGGAACAAUAUGAGUGGCGAUUAAACUAGUUUGAAACUAAAGCUACAAGUUAAAUUCAAACAAACGAUAUAAAAAGAUAAAAUGGGGGUUUUAGAGAUUAGCAAAUAAUUUUUGGUCACUUUAAUUUCAGUGUUUGUUAAUCAAGAUUUUAUGAAAUAAUCAGGAUUAUGUUCACUAGGGCUUACGGUACAUGACAGAUGCUAAAAUUUACUCAAGACUCUCACGGUAGUUAGGAUCACAAGCUAUCUUUAUCGAUGAUAUGCUUAAAUGUCUCUAGACCUAUUCAAGAGUCUAAUUUCCUAAUUCUCUCGGACUUAGGGAAUCGCUAUGCAUUGUCCAGAUUUUACCUUAGGUAAAUCAACCUUGUUAUAGCGUUGAUUAUUAAAUGAAGUUUUUUCGAGUCCCUGUUGAUAAUUCACUUCUUACUAUUUAUGAUUUUUUUCUCAAGAAAACCAAAGUAGGUACGCCUACUGUUUGCAACAAACAGACGUAAAUUAUAAUCUCAGAAUUACCAAGAAAUCCUAACACCUAUUAAAUCUUAAGUAUUUAACACCUUAUCAUGACCUAACCCUAGAUCCCAUGAUCCAGGUUACAGGUGUUUAGCCACUCAUGAUACAAGAAACAAGUAUGCAAAUUGAAUUCAUAACUGAAAGGAUUAACUUACAAUGAUGAAGAAAAUCAAAAGUCUACUUUGAAUUGAAUCACAGUGCAAAACUCCAAAAUAUUAGUUUUUGAGAGAGAGAGAGAGAAAUAUCGUAUAUUGUAUCUUGUAGGAUAUGUCCAAUCCUUAAUGAUCGAAUGAAUAAAAAAAACUAAAACAAGGCUUUAAAUAGUUAACCCUAAAUAAGAAAAUAAAAUUAAAGUUCAGAUUUUCUUCAGAAUAGAUGACGGCGCUCGUGAUGGCCUAUCAAGAGUUAGACGACCUAUCACGGACGUCGUCAGUUUCUCUGCAAGUUUAGCUUCUGCUGCCUAAAGUUGACGACGACGGUGAUGCCUUAUCAUCACCUUGACGGUGUGUAAUGAAUGUCGUCACAAAACUUUCUGCAACUUUCAUCUUCUGUUUAAGGUUGACGGCAUCCUUGACAGCCUAUCACCAGGCUGACGACGUGUCAUGGAUGUCGUCAGCCACACUUUGUUCUUUAUUUUCUUUUGAUUUCAUGUUUUUUGCUUCCUUUAUUUGUGGUUCCCCUUCUACUCUACUUAUACUGCAAAAUCAAAGUAAACUAAUCAAAAAACGACUAAAGUUACUCAAGACUUUGCAAUUAUUUAGAAAGCUGUAAAUGUGUUAGCAUGGGCUCACACAUCAACCUACACUGGGGUCCACUAACAAGGCUGUUCGGGGGAGUAUAUGGUCGAUAGUGGCUGUGAGAGCUUUCCACCCACUCCAUACACCUGACAGCUCCCCUUCCUAAAAUAAGGGUGACUCAAUUAGAGGUCAUGUACACACGUGCACUACGAAUUUGUUGCGAAAAAAAUGACUCGGGUUAUGCACAUAAUGCCAGAUAUAAAGUGGUAACACAUAAUAAAAACUAUAAACAUGCAACACAUAGGUAAUCAACAAUGAUAAAAUAAAUACAAACGAUAACACAAACAAUGUUUAUACACACAUAAUUUCAAACUAUGCCGAUACAACUCCAAAAGUAAGCUCGGAUUCUGAAAAUUUCUCCAGCAGAGUCGUCAAUGCUGUCACCCCCUUUUUUAACCAAAAAGAUGGAUUUUAAUGUUUGAAAAGGUUUUAUUAUCUAAGUGACAAAAGAUUUAAAAUUUAUUUCAAAAAAAAGAUUAUUUACAUUUUUUAUUCAGAGUCGCCACUUGACAUAAGCCGGUGUGCCAAGUCACCUUUGAAAAAUUCUUUUCAAAACUUUGACUCUUUAAAACUGGUUUGCUAACAGAGAUUCCAAGUAAUGAAUUCUGUUGAUCGAGGCGAAGGUGUUAGGCACCCCUCGAUCCCGUGGUUCGGCCACGGUCUCUUGGUGAAUUAUAUCGGCUCGUAAGACACUAUGAAUAUAUAAACCCAUAAAAACACAUAAAAGAAUCAAACAAACACAUCAAACACAAUCCAAAACCACAAUAAUAACGUUCAGUCCAAUUAUACAGUCCAAAAUAGUCCUAUUCUAAACUAGUCCUAAACUAAGCUCCACCCGACGCCUCGGGCCUUCGUCACGAACAUCUUUCAGGUACAAAAUACUUCGGGGCAUUCUCCGACCAGAUGAUACAUUUGAUCAAGCACGAUAAACUAGAAAACAUUCAACACACAUUCCACAUUCAAACAUUCAACAAAACACUUAUUCCUAAAUUUUUCCUACCCGAACCUAUACUUGUCUAUUCAUUUCAACAUGUCAUAAUUCUAUCACGUUCCAACGACAAUCAUGCUUAUUCCGAAUUAAACAAAACAACAAUAAAUCAAAAUUGAUCUAUGUUCACCCUUUUUAUCAAUUUCACAAUUCUACCCCAUCUAACUUCAUUUUUUAUCAAUCACACUAUCAAAACUACUCAAAUUCGUUUCACAUAUCACCAAAAUCACAUCAUCAAGCACAUAAUCAUAACAUUAACAAAAUCCAACAAUCAUAAUCACCCCACACAUAAUCACAACAUCGAUGCCAAAUUAAAAGAAAUAAGGAGUAAGAGUUAUAGAGAUGGACCUUCCGAAUGCUCUCAAUUGAUUAAGAAGAGAAUAAAAGCGGUCCUGAAACCUAGAAGAAUACCACAAUCUCAAUCCCGAACCAGUAAUUGGACUGGUUUAAAACUGUGAUGAAAUUGAAUUUUGAUUCAAACCAAGGAAACCUUGAAGAGUCAAUGAAUACCCGAAACCAAAACUCAAAAAAAAAAUGAGAAUCCGUAUGACAAUUUCGACGAGACUUUAAUGGAGUCGGAGUAAACUGUCGACUUUUCUGACUUGUCGACUGGACUGAUGUUUUCAGGCUGGAUUUCACCAGAGAAACCAAAAAAAAUGAGAAAAGUGUCUGGGGAUUUCAAUAUUGGGACAAAUUUAAGCUCGGGAUACUUGAACUUGACUAGAAAAUACCGUUUCCGGCGACCCCUGGUGUUUUUUGGUCAGAUUCCGGUGCUAAUUUUGGUGGGAUUGCGCCGAUUUCGUUGUUUAUUUGCCAAAUCUCUCAAAAUCCUUUCAUUCUUUCGAUUCUCUCCCUCUCUCUGCUUUGCUCUCUCUCUUCGUUACUCUCUCUUUCUCUCCGUUACUCUCUUUGUGUGUGUGAGUAUAUGUGUAUGUCUUUAUUCACUGGUUGUGUUGUGUGUGUGUAAUGUAUUGUAGUAUGUGUUAGUGGGUGUGUAUUGAAUAAAUGGAGGAGUGUGUAGGUGUCCAUUAAUGGUGGAGAGAUAGUUUGUGAGUAUAUUCUUGAAAGUGUUUUCUUUUUUGAGAAAGAAGAUGAUGAGUGUUUUCAAUGAAAAUUUCCUCUUCUUUUUGGCCCUCUGUGUCUAUGUGUAUAUCCUCUCCUUUCUUUGUGAAAAGAAACGUGGGGGUGGGGGGGG
RNAcentral lists this long non-coding RNA (6924 nucleotides) under Capsicum annuum. RNAcentral describes it as "long non-coding RNA (CANN_LNC022172)". Lineage: Eukaryota; Viridiplantae; Streptophyta; Magnoliopsida; Solanales; Solanaceae. The record is from RNAcentral.